Molecule: transfer RNA, 72 nt
Filed under: Ovis aries (sheep)
Lineage: Eukaryota; Metazoa; Chordata; Mammalia; Artiodactyla; Bovidae
Rfam family: tRNA
About the family: Transfer RNA (tRNA) molecules are approximately 80 nucleotides in length. Their secondary structure includes four short double-helical elements and three loops (D, anti-codon, and T loops). Further hydrogen bonds mediate the characteristic L-shaped molecular structure. tRNAs have two regions of fundamental functional importance: the anti-codon, which is responsible for specific mRNA codon recognition, and the 3' end, to which the tRNAs corresponding amino acid is attached (by aminoacyl-tRNA synthetases). tRNAs cope with the degeneracy of the genetic code in two manners: having more than one tRNA (with a specific anti-codon) for a particular amino acid; and 'wobble' base-pairing, i.e. permitting non-standard base-pairing at the 3rd anti-codon position.
Source: Rfam by way of RNAcentral
UCCUUGGUGGCUCAGACAGUAAAGCAUCUGCCUGUAAUGCAGGAGACCCGGGUUUGAUCCCUGGUUGGGGAA